GAUGAACGCUGACAGAAUGCUUAACACAUGCAAGUCAACUUGAAUUUGGGUUUUUACCUUAGGUUUGGGUGGCGGACGGGUGAGUAACGCGUAAAGAACUUGCCUCACAGCUAGGGACAACAUUUGGAAACGAAUGCUAAUACCUAAUAUUAUGAUAAUAGGGCAUCCUAUAAUUAUGAAAGCUAUAAGCGCUGUGAGAGAGCUUUGCGUCCCAUUAGCUAGUUGGAGAGGUAACGGCUCACCAAGGCGAUGAUGGGUAGCCGGCCUGAGAGGGUGAUCGGCCACAAGGGGACUGAGACACGGCCCUUACUCCUACGGGAGGCAGCAGUGGGGAAUAUUGGACAAUGGACCAAGAGUCUGAUCCAGCAAUUCUGUGUGCACGAUGAAGUUUUUCGGAAUGUAAAGUGCUUUCAGUUGGGAAGAAAGAAAUGGCGGUACCAACAGAAGAAGUGACGGCUAAAUACGUG
RNAcentral lists this ribosomal RNA (467 nucleotides) under uncultured bacterium. RNAcentral describes it as "partial 16S ribosomal RNA". It matches the Rfam family "Bacterial small subunit ribosomal RNA", at positions 28 to 507 of the family's 1533-position model. The record is from RNAcentral.